This 377-nucleotide ribosomal RNA is filed under the name uncultured bacterium. RNAcentral's name for it is "bacterial SSU rRNA". It matches the Rfam family "Bacterial small subunit ribosomal RNA", at positions 521 to 896 of the family's 1533-position model. The record is from RNAcentral.
UAAUACGGGGGGUGCGAGCGUUAUUCGGAAUUACUGGGCGUAAAGAGCGCGUAGGCGGUCUUUUAAGUCAGGUGUGAAAGCCCGGGGCUCAACCCCGGAAGUGCACUUGAAACUAAGAGACUUGAGUAUGGGAGAGGGAAGUGGAAUUCCUGGUGUAGCGGUGAAAUGCGUAGAUAUCAGGAGGAACAUCAGUGGCGAAGGCGACUUCCUGGACCAAUACUGACGCUGAGGCGCGAAGGCGUGGGGAGCAAACAGGAUUAGAUACCCUGGUAGUCCACGCAGUAAACGGUGAACACUAGGUGUAGCGGGUAUUGACCCCUGCUGUGCCGCAGCAAACGCAUUAAGUGUUCCGCCUGGGGAGUACGGCCGCAAGGUUA